CCAGCUCCAAGAGUGUAUAUUAAAGUUGUUGUGGUUAAAACGCCCGUAGUUGAUUUUCCGACUCUGGCUUCCGGUAACCCGAGAGGGUCUUACUUGGUUUGUCGAGUCUGAAUUUGGGUUUUCUGCCAAUGCUCUUAACUGAGUGUCGGUAGUGACUCAAGAGUUUACUUUGAAAAAAUUAGAGUGCUUAAAGCAAGCUAUACGCUUGAAUAGAGUGCAUGGGAUAAUGGAAUAGGACUUCAGUUCUAUUUUGUUGGUUUUCGGAAUUGAAGUAAUGAUUAAGAGGAACUGACGGGGGCAUUCGUAUUGUUGCGUUAGAGGUGAAAUUCUUGGAUCGCAGCAAGACGAACAACUGCGAAAGCAUUUGCCAAGAAUGUUUUCAUUAAUCAAGGACGAAAGUUAGAGGUUCGAAGGCGAUCAGAUACCGCCCUAGUUCUAACCGUAAACGAUGCCAACUGGCCAUUCGUCGGUGUUAAUUUAUGACCCGACGGGCAGCUUCCGGGAAACCAAAGUUUUUUGGUUCCGGGGGAAGUAUGGUUGCAAAGCUUAAACUUAAAGGAAUUGACGGAAGGGCACCACCAGGAGUGGAGCCUGCGGCUUAAUUCGACUCAAC
RNAcentral lists this ribosomal RNA (613 nucleotides) under Nematoda environmental sample. RNAcentral's name for it is "SSU rRNA". It matches the Rfam family "Eukaryotic small subunit ribosomal RNA", at positions 585 to 1204 of the family's 1831-position model. Lineage: Eukaryota; Metazoa; Nematoda. The record is from RNAcentral.